Molecule: long non-coding RNA, 1391 nt
Organism: Pyrus x bretschneideri (Chinese white pear)
Lineage: Eukaryota; Viridiplantae; Streptophyta; Magnoliopsida; Rosales; Rosaceae
Exons: 2
Source: RefSeq, a predicted model, not a curated record
GUUCCCCUUGAAAACUGUUGGAAGUGGAUAAGAAGAGUACGCGAGAACGAUCAUGUACACAAGGAGCAAACAAUCGUGAUUAAUAUGAGGUCCUGGUGUGGUGCCGGCCAAAGCCUCUUCGACAGUCAACUUUGUAUAAAGGACUAGGCAUCUUAGUCUGAUUCGGAGCCGUUAAGUGAAUGUCGGACUCAUGAAGCAGUUGUAUUCCGGUUCAUCAUUCGGCCAGUAAAAUUCUUGAUCCCACAAUGAAAAAGAAUUGAAAUCAUUUUGAUUCUUGUGUUUUCGGCGUUUACUAAAAUAUGGCAUGCCUGGAUUUGACCUAUCCGCUUACAAAAAAUGAAAAGAACUGAAAGCGUUGGCUUUCUGUGGCUUUCUGUCGGGGUGGAGUUGAAUCACUGAGAGCCAAGGCCAAACGGAAGCGCAGCAGAAGCCUGAAAUUAGCCUACAUGUACAGCUGAACAUUUCUACAACUAAAUUUUCUAGCUUUGGAACUCCAUCCGGAAGGUGGGAAAUUUCAGCAGGGCACCUGUCAUGCUCCAAACUCAAAUGCUGUCCUGCCGAAGGUACUUCUCAGAUUGCUCCUAAUUUACUGCAGUAAAGGGUUAAACUUUUCCCCAAUUAACUCACAGAGGUUUCCAGGUUCAACCUAAUCGAGAUUUUUCUGAUGUUUUAUCUUUACAAGAGUGCCUAUGUAAGCAGAAAUGUUCAGUGACCAUAUCAAACACCAACUUCGGCGUGUACCCUCGUCCAAGCAAACUCAAAAAAUUGUCUGUGGCAGCUGUUUGUGCCCCUAUAAGUUCUUGAACUGCCAGAAUGAAAUUCAAAGGUAUAAGACCGAACUUUCGGAAAAUCUAGUUCCCUACGAAAACUGGAUUAGGCAGCAGAGCAGUCGCUUAGCAGCAUUUGUGUGUACGGAAAUGUAAAAGUAUUGUCUACAGAAGUAGGCAUGAAAUGCUGAUUCUUUCAUAAAACUGAAAGGAAACUUCUCAAUCACAAAGUUGUAGGGACGACACGAGAAAUUUGUAAUAACAAGACUUCUUGAAUUUGAUUUCACUUCUUGGUGGCAGACCCCCUCGUCAAUUAAAUCUAAGAGAAGUUCACUCGAUAUUUGAAAGCGCAAGCUUUGGUGUUCACUUUGAUUUACCGCCAAGCUUGGAAACUGAUGGUUACCUUUUGAUCGAAUAGAAACCAAAAGAAACUUCUCAGAAAAUUCUUGAAAUUAUAAUAUCCAAGAGUUGGUUUAACAUAAAAGUUGGCAAGGUUAAGAGAGAUGGGUGAGUGAAACUUUGAGGAUAAGUAGUAAGACAUCUAACAACCAUGGCUUCAAAACUCAAAAGUUGUGAAAAGAAGCUGUCUUUCUGUUUCCAAACUGACGACUUCUUUUAUACUGA